UAAGUACUCCCUCCGUUCGGAAAUACUUGUUCUAAAAAUUGGUUGUAUCUAGGCUUAACACAAGUCUAGAUACAACCAUUUUUAGGACAAGUAUUUCCGAACGGAGGGAGUAUUUG
Triticum aestivum (bread wheat) is the source of this 116-nucleotide non-coding RNA. The record is from Rfam. NCBI's taxonomy places the organism in Eukaryota, Viridiplantae, Streptophyta, Magnoliopsida, Poales, Poaceae.